RNAcentral lists this ribosomal RNA (2907 nucleotides) under Salmonella enterica subsp. enterica serovar Enteritidis. RNAcentral's name for it is "23S ribosomal RNA". It matches the Rfam family "Bacterial large subunit ribosomal RNA". The record is from RNAcentral. Lineage: Bacteria; Pseudomonadati; Pseudomonadota; Gammaproteobacteria; Enterobacterales; Enterobacteriaceae.
GGUUAAGCGACUAAGCGUACACGGUGGAUGCCCUGGCAGUCAGAGGCGAUGAAGGGCGUACUAAUCUGCGAUAAGCGCCGGUAAGGUGAUAUGAACCGUUAUAACCGGCGAUACCCGAAUGGGGAAACCCAGUGUGAUUCGUCACACUAUCAUUAACUGAAUCCAUAGGUUAAUGAGGCGAACCGGGGGAACUGAAACAUCUAAGUACCCCGAGGAAAAGAAAUCAACCGAGAUUCCCCCAGUAGCGGCGAGCGAACGGGGAGGAGCCCAGAGCCUGAAUCAGCAUGUGUGUUAGUGGAAGCGUCUGGAAAGGCGCGCGAUACAGGGUGACAGCCCCGUACACAAAAGCGCAUGUGCUGUGAGCUCGAUGAGUAGGGCGGGACACGUGGUAUCCUGUCUGAAUAUGGGGGGACCAUCCUCCAAGGCUAAAUACUCCUGACUGACCGAUAGUGAACCAGUACCGUGAGGGAAAGGCGAAAAGAACCCCGGCGAGGGGAGUGAAAAAGAACCUGAAACCGUGUACGUACAAGCAGUGGGAGCACAGGUUUACCUGUGUGACUGCGUACCUUUUGUAUAAUGGGUCAGCGACUUAUAUUCUGUAGCAAGGUUAACCGAAUAGGGGAGCCGGAGGGAAACCGAGUCUUAAUUGGGCGUUAAGUUGCAGGGUAUAGACCCGAAACCCGGUGAUCUAGCCAUGGGCAGGUUGAAGGUUGGGUAACACUAACUGGAGGACCGAACCGACUAAUGUUGAAAAAUUAGCGGAUGACCUGUGGCUGGGGGUGAAAGGCCAAUCAAACCGGGAGAUAGCUGGUUCUCCCCGAAAGCUAUUUAGGUAGCGCCUCGUGAAUUCAUCUCCGGGGGUAGAGCACUGUUUCGGCUAGGGGGCCAUCCCGGCUUACCAACCCGAUGCAAACUGCGAAUACCGGAGAAUGUUAUCACGGGAGACACACGGCGGGUGCUAACGUCCGUCGUGAAGAGGGAAACAACCCAGACCGCCAGCUAAGGUCCCAAAGUCAUGGUUAAGUGGGAAACGAUGUGGGAAGGCCCAGACAGCCAGGAUGUUGGCUUAGAAGCAGCCAUCAUUUAAAGAAAGCGUAAUAGCUCACUGGUCGAGUCGGCCUGCGCGGAAGAUGUAACGGGGCUAAACCAUGCACCGAAGCUGCGGCAGCGACGCUUAUGCGUUGUUGGGUAGGGGAGCGUUCUGUAAGCCUGCGAAGGUGGCCUGUGAGGGUUGCUGGAGGUAUCAGAAGUGCGAAUGCUGACAUAAGUAACGAUAAAGCGGGUGAAAAGCCCGCUCGCCGGAAGACCAAGGGUUCCUGUCCAACGUUAAUCGGGGCAGGGUGAGUCGACCCCUAAGGCGAGGCCGAAAGGCGUAGUCGAUGGGAAACGGGUUAAUAUUCCCGUACUUGGUGUUACUGCGAAGGGGGGACGGAGAAGGCUAUGUUGGCCGGGCGACGGUUGUCCCGGUUUAAGCGUGUAGGUGUGUGUUCCAGGUAAUCCGGUUCACUUUAACACUGAGGCGUGACGACGAGGCACUACGGUGCUGAAGCAACAAAUGCCCUGCUUCCAGGAAAAGCCUCUAAGCAUCAGGUAACAUCAAAUCGUACCCCAAACCGACACAGGUGGUCAGGUAGAGAAUACCAAGGCGCUUGAGAGAACUCGGGUGAAGGAACUAGGCAAAAUGGUGCCGUAACUUCGGGAGAAGGCACGCUGACACGUAGGUGAAGUGAUUUACUCAUGGAGCUGAAGUCAGUCGAAGAUACCAGCUGGCUGCAACUGUUUAUUAAAAACACAGCACUGUGCAAACACGAAAGUGGACGUAUACGGUGUGACGCCUGCCCGGUGCCGGAAGGUUAAUUGAUGGGGUCAGCGCAAGCGAAGCUCCUGAUCGAAGCCCCGGUAAACGGCGGCCGUAACUAUAACGGUCCUAAGGUAGCGAAAUUCCUUGUCGGGUAAGUUCCGACCUGCACGAAUGGCGUAAUGAUGGCCAGGCUGUCUCCACCCGAGACUCAGUGAAAUUGAACUCGCUGUGAAGAUGCAGUGUACCCGCGGCAAGACGGAAAGACCCCGUGAACCUUUACUAUAGCUUGACACUGAACAUUGAGCCUUGAUGUGUAGGAUAGGUGGGAGGCUUUGAAGUGUGGACGCCAGUCUGCAUGGAGCCGACCUUGAAAUACCACCCUUUAAUGUUUGAUGUUCUAACGUGGACCCGUUACCCGGGUUGCGGACAGUGUCUGGUGGGUAGUUUGACUGGGGCGGUCUCCUCCUAAAGAGUAACGGAGGAGCACGAAGGUUGGCUAAUCCUGGUCGGACAUCAGGAGGUUAGUGCAAUGGCAUAAGCCAGCUUGACUGCGAGCGUGACGGCGCGAGCAGGUGCGAAAGCAGGUCAUAGUGAUCCGGUGGUUCUGAAUGGAAGGGCCAUCGCUCAACGGAUAAAAGGUACUCCGGGGAUAACAGGCUGAUACCGCCCAAGAGUUCAUAUCGACGGCGGUGUUUGGCACCUCGAUGUCGGCUCAUCACAUCCUGGGGCUGAAGUAGGUCCCAAGGGUAUGGCUGUUCGCCAUUUAAAGUGGUACGCGAGCUGGGUUUAGAACGUCGUGAGACAGUUCGGUCCCUAUCUGCCGUGGGCGCUGGAGAACUGAGGGGGGCUGCUCCUAGUACGAGAGGACCGGAGUGGACGCAUCACUGGUGUUCGGGUUGUCAUGCCAAUGGCACUGCCCGGUAGCUAAAUGCGGAAGAGAUAAGUGCUGAAAGCAUCUAAGCACGAAACUUGCCCCGAGAUGAGUUCUCCCUGAGACUUAAAGUCUCCUGAAGGAACGUUGAAGACGACGACGUUGAUAGGCCGGGUGUGUAAGCGCAGCGAUGCGUUGAGCUAACCGGUACUAAUGAACCGUGAGGCUUAACCUU